Unclassified non-coding RNA from Callithrix jacchus (white-tufted-ear marmoset), 293 nucleotides. It matches the Rfam family "Metazoan signal recognition particle RNA". Rfam says of the family: The signal recognition particle (SRP) is a universally conserved ribonucleoprotein. It is involved in the co-translational targeting of proteins to membranes. The eukaryotic SRP consists of a 300-nucleotide 7S RNA and six proteins: SRPs 72, 68, 54, 19, 14, and 9. Lineage: Eukaryota; Metazoa; Chordata; Mammalia; Primates; Cebidae. The record is from Ensembl.
GCCAGGUGUGGUGAUGCUAGUCCCAGCUACUAGCGAGGCUGAGGUGGGAGGAUGGCUUGACCCCAGGAGUUGUGGGCUGUAAUGCACUAUGUCGAUUGGGUGUCCACACUAAGUUCGGCAUCAGUAUGGUGACCUCCCAGGAGCAGGGAACUACCAAGUUGCCUAAGGAGGGGUGAACUGGCCCAGGUCAGAAAUGGAGCAGGUCAAAACUCCUGGGCUGAUCAGUUGUGGGAUCGCCCCUGUGAAUAGCCACUGCACUCUGGCCUGGGCACCAUAGCGAGACCCUGUCUCUA